Molecule: ribosomal RNA, 301 nt
Filed under: uncultured bacterium
Lineage: Bacteria
Description: partial 16S ribosomal RNA
Rfam family: Bacterial small subunit ribosomal RNA
Source: RNAcentral
CAGUCGCCGCGGUAACACGUAGGGUGCAAGCGUUAAUCGGAAUUACUGGGCGUAAAGCGUGCGCAGGCGGUUAGGUAAGCCAGAUGUGAAAUCCCCGAGCUCAACUUGGGAACUGCGUUUGGAACUGUUUAACUAGAGUGCGUCAGAGGGGGGUGGAAUUCCGCGUGUAGCAGUGAAAUGCGUAGAGAUGCGGAGGAACACCGAUGGCGAAGGCAGCCCCCUGGGAUGACACUGACGCUCAUGCACGAAAGCGUGGGGAGCAAACAGGAUUAGAUACCCGAGUAGUCCCUGUCUCUUAUAC